CUCACCUCACUGUAACUCCACUCCUCGUCCUUCUGUUCUUUCAGUCAUUCUCUGCUGUCUUAACCUUCUCUCCCUGCCUCGCCAGACAUCGCCAGUAAACAGGUGGUAAUGUAGCUUGAGGCAAAGGGCUUACAUUAAGCUCUCGUCAAGAAGAGGGUGAAAAUUGACUAACAGGAGGAGGAUAGCGAGGUGAAGUUCCUUUCGGUCAGUGUUUGAGCCAAGAAUCGCGUCUGCAGUUGAUAAUGGUUCACGAUACUUUUUCUUGUCAGGGUUCUGGGUCGUCUCCUUGCUCUUGUUGAUCAGUAACAUUUUUCCGGUGUAACAAAACAAUACUGAAUCCCGAAGGUUUAUAAGGCAUGGCAAUCCUGAACCGAAAAUCGGCACCACGCAUGAUUCUUCUGGGCUCGGCGGCACAGCCAGGCGUAUGACGCAGUGUGAGUUCUGCCGGGCUGAUUCUUCCCUAUACGGGCUUCCCUUGGCGCUCCUCGUUCUAUAAUACUCAAAUCGUUUCUUACCGCGUCUUAAAAGAUUAUAUUUGUGGUAUUAUAUAUCAGUUAGUAGCCUCUUGAUGGCUGUGAUCCAGCGCGACACGUUGGUACGCUGCGCGGCGCUAACAGGUCACGGAGAGAGUUGACGCUUAGUGGCACUGAGCGAGUGACGGGUGAUUGUGUGCGCGGCUCGCCACUUCCCCCGCCCGAGGAAGUUCAGAGGACCGACUUGUAGACUUGUAACUAUGUAGCUUCGCCCUUAUAGUUUUUUAAAAAAGUUAAUGCAGUGCAGUUGAUUACUACUGAAAUAGUACUCCAUGUUUUUACCGAGAUUAGUGUGGCGGGGAAUGUUGCAGAGUUGAUACAUGAAUGGGAGUUUUAGUACAAGCGAACAUUAGUUUGGCGACAACCACCUGUGAGUGUCUUGUGAUCGCGUAGUGCUGCCUCCAGGUGCUGGCAGGCCCCUGUGGUGAUGGGGGCCGCGCUGCACAUACUGCUGCUCAUCGCUCACGCAGCCCUCGCCGCCGCCACCAAGGCAGGUGUGUGACGGCCGCUGCCUGCCUGCCUGCCUGCCUGCUGCUGGUGUUACUUUUACUGCCUGCCUCCUUGCUUCGUUAAGUGACUCAGACCAUUCCGUGGGCGGCCUCAGAACAGCCUCACUAGACAGGAUGGCCCGCCGCUCCCACGCCCAUCCGCCCACCACGCCUACGGCCAACACUACUACUCCCUCCCACGCCGCCCGCAAUACACCCAGCGGCUUGCACAACCUCAUGGCAAGGUUCAGAGGCCUCCAAAGAGCUGGCCAGAGUGAAGCUUGUGGCAUAGAGGGACAGCUGCUAAUCAUCAAGCUUAUGGAGUGACUGGAGGAAAGUGGGAGGAGCCUGGAGGGAGUCGUGGAGGUACAGUACUUGGAGAAAAUCCCUCCAUUAUGACGACUGGGUGUCUGCUGUACAGUCCACCGA
Long non-coding RNA from Scylla paramamosain (green mud crab), 1450 nucleotides. RefSeq lists it as uncharacterized. The record is from RefSeq and is a predicted model, not a curated record. The transcript is spliced from 4 exons. Lineage: Eukaryota; Metazoa; Arthropoda; Malacostraca; Decapoda; Portunidae.